GAGUUUGAUCGUGGCUCAGAACGAACGCUGGCGGCAGGCUUAACACAUGCAAGUCGAACGCGUGUAGCAAUACACGAGUGGCGCACGGGUGAGUAACACGUGGAUAUCUGCCUUUUGGUUCGGAAUAACCCUGGGAAACUAGGGCUAAUACCGAAUGGUUCCUACGGGAUAAAGAUUUAUCGCCAAAAGAUGAGUCCGCGUCCGAUUAGCUAGUUGGUGAGGUAAUGGCUCACCAAGGCGACGAUCGGUAGCUGGUCUGAGAGGACGAUCAGCCACACUGGGACUGAGACACGGCCCAGACUCCUACGGGAGGCAGCAGUGGGGAAUCUUCCGCAAUGGGCGAAAGCCUGACGGAGCAAUGCCGCGUGAACGAUGAAGG
This 379-nucleotide ribosomal RNA is filed under the name uncultured Alphaproteobacteria bacterium. RNAcentral describes it as "bacterial SSU rRNA". It matches the Rfam family "Bacterial small subunit ribosomal RNA", at positions 9 to 414 of the family's 1533-position model. Lineage: Bacteria; Pseudomonadati; Pseudomonadota; Alphaproteobacteria. The record is from RNAcentral.